UCUUUAUCGAUAACAACAAAAAUAAACAAACGUGAUGCUUAUGGCGCUCGGCUGGACACGUAAUUUCCGCUUUGUCGUCAUCACAGAGCGACGUUUUCUCAGGAAGCAAGUGGUUGAAGCGAAAUCACCCCGUCUAAAAGAAAUGGCACCAUCACCCACAAAACGGAAGGAGGAGG
Monopterus albus (swamp eel) is the source of this 176-nucleotide long non-coding RNA. RefSeq lists it as uncharacterized. NCBI's taxonomy places the organism in Eukaryota, Metazoa, Chordata, Actinopteri, Synbranchiformes, Synbranchidae. The record is from RefSeq and is a predicted model, not a curated record. The transcript is spliced from 2 exons.